RNAcentral lists this ribosomal RNA (506 nucleotides) under uncultured bacterium. RNAcentral describes it as "partial 16S ribosomal RNA". It matches the Rfam family "Bacterial small subunit ribosomal RNA", at positions 29 to 523 of the family's 1533-position model. The record is from RNAcentral.
AGUGAACGCUGGCGGUAGGCCUAACACAUGCAAGUCGAACGGCAGCACAGGAGAGCUUGCUCUCUGGGUGGCGAGUGGCGGACGGGUGAGGAAUACAUCGGAAUCUACUUUUUCGUGGGGGAUAACGUAGGGAAACUUACGCUAAUACCGCAUACGACCUACGGGUGGAAGCAGGGGACCUUCGGGCCUUGCGCGAUUGAAUGAGCCGAUGUCGGAUUAGCUAGUUGGCGGGGUAAAGGCCCACCAAGGCGACGAUCCGUAGCUGGUCUGAGAGGAUGACCAGCCACACUGGAACUGAGACACGGUCCAGACUCCUACGGGAGGCAGCAGUGGGGAAUAUUGGACAAUGGGCGCAAGCCUGAUCCAGCCAUACCGCGUGGGUGAAGAAGGCCUUCGGGUUGUAAAGCCCUUUUGUUGGGAAAGAAAUCCAGCCGGUUAAUACCUGGUUGGGAUGACGGUACCCAAAGAAUAAGCACCGGCUAACUUCGUGCCAGCCGCCGCCGUAA